Molecule: long non-coding RNA, 260 nt
Organism: Pan troglodytes (chimpanzee)
Lineage: Eukaryota; Metazoa; Chordata; Mammalia; Primates; Hominidae
Exons: 2
Source: RefSeq, a predicted model, not a curated record
AGGCUGGAGGAUGAAAGGAACGGAGACCCCCAAUCCCCGACCCCACAGGAGCCACCAUCUCCCCAGAGCUGAAAAGGAGAUGGGGUCUCGCUAUGUUGCCCACGCUGGUCUUGAACUUCUGGCCUCAAGUGAUCCUCCCACCUUGACCUCCUAAAGCACUAGGAUUACAAGUGUGAGCCGCUGUGCCCAGCCCUGGCCUUUUGUAUAUUUUCUUUUGUGAAAUUUCUGUUCAAAUUUUUAAAAUCCCAUUUUAAAAAUUG